AGAGACAGCAGUAGCCACGGUAAUACAGAGGGUGCGAGCGUUAAUCGGAUUUACUGGGCGUAAAGCGUGCGUAGGCGGCUUUUUAAGUCGGAUGUGAAAUCCCUGAGCUUAACUUAGGAAUUGCAUUCGAUACUGGGAAGCUAGAGUAUGGGAGAGGAUGGUAGAAUUCCAGGUGUAGCGGUGAAAUGCGUAGAGAUCUGGAGGAAUACCGAUGGCGAAGGCAGCCAUCUGGCCUAAUACUGACGCUGAGGUACGAAAGCAUGGGGAGCAAACAGGAUUAGAUACCCGUGUAGUCCCUGUCUCUUAUAA
Molecule: ribosomal RNA, 309 nt
Filed under: uncultured bacterium
Lineage: Bacteria
Description: partial 16S ribosomal RNA
Rfam family: Bacterial small subunit ribosomal RNA
Source: RNAcentral